AAAACAUCGCCUCUUGAUAAAAUAUAAGAGGUCCAGCCUGCCCAGUGACAUAUUAAACGGCCGCGGUACUCUAACCGUGCGAAGGUAGCACAAUAACUUGUUCUUUAAAUGGGGACUAGAAUCAACGGCAUCACGAGGGCUACACUGUCUCCUUUCUCUAAUCAGUGAAACUGAUCUCCCCGUGAAGAAGCGGGGAUAAAUAUAUUAGACGAGAAGACCCCAUGGAGCUUCAAACUCAAUAAUAACUCUUCUUACACAUAACCUAGAAACCCUUGAGAGAAACUAUCUAUUAGUUUUGGGCUGGGGUGACCGCGGAGUAAAACCCAACCUCCGUAAUGAAUAGAUUAACACCUUAAUCUAAGAAUUACACUUCUAAGAAUUAAUAAAUUAACAUAAAAUGAUCCAAUAAAUAUUUGAUCAACGAACCAAGUUACCCUGGGGAUAACAGCGCCAUCCACUUCAAGAGCUCCUAUCGACAAGUGGGUUUACGACCUCGAUGUUGGAUCAGGGUAUCCUAGUGGUGCAGCCGCUACUGAAGGUUCGUUUGUUCAACGAUUAAAACCCUAC
This 567-nucleotide ribosomal RNA is filed under the name Hildebrandtia ornata (ornate frog). RNAcentral describes it as "partial 16S ribosomal RNA". It matches the Rfam family "Bacterial large subunit ribosomal RNA", at positions 1810 to 2599 of the family's 2925-position model. Lineage: Eukaryota; Metazoa; Chordata; Amphibia; Anura; Ptychadenidae. The record is from RNAcentral.